This is a long non-coding RNA of Macadamia integrifolia, 1722 nucleotides long. RefSeq lists it as uncharacterized. The transcript is spliced from 5 exons. The record is from RefSeq and is a predicted model, not a curated record. NCBI's taxonomy places the organism in Eukaryota, Viridiplantae, Streptophyta, Magnoliopsida, Proteales, Proteaceae.
UCUUCUUCUUCUUCUUCUUCUUCCUCUUCUUUUUCUUCUUUCUUCCUUCUAUUUUUCUUCUUCUUUUUCUGUGUUUAGGGUUUCUCACGUUUACCCUCCUUCCAUGAUAGACGCUCGCAGCUGAGAAGAAUUUCAAAACCGAGUUGAUUGAAGGUUGUAAACUUUAUAUCUAGGGAUUACCCUCUUUCCAAAUCAGACGCUCGAAUCCGAGGUUUGAAUCUGCAAAAACGAGUUGAUUGGAGGGUUUCUCACGUUUACUCCUGGCGGCUAGAAAGCACUCGGGAACUUAACCGGCGAAAAGAGAGAGAGAGAGAGAGACCUACAGUUUUUUUGCUCUCUGUGUUUUCCGUUUUUUCCUCUCUGAAAUGCUGAUACAUUUGGUGAAGACCAUCGAGAUCAUUUCUUUACUGAGCUUAGAAUUCUGAUUGAUAAAAGGAGUAGCGAUCAUGGCACUCGUGAGGUCAACCAAAAGGCCUAUAGUUGAUGAUCCCAUCACUGUUUGAUCAAGGUGUGGUUUUAGUCUAGGGGUUUGUUGGUUUCAGUCUAGGGGUUUGAUGAUCCCAUCAUUGUUUGAACAAUACUAUUUCUGAUUUUUUUCUUGGUGUGUGGGGUUGGGGGAGACUGCUGUUUAUUGGUUGGGUUUCGUGAUGUUUCUCUUUCGUGCUCUCCUUGGUCGGCGUCCUUCAUUGGGCCUUUGGAGGUGGGGAAAAAAAUCUCAAAGCUUAUUCGAGAUUCAUGCAACCAGACGUCUGGUUCAGAGCAGGGCAGGUGGCAAUCAGAACUUACCCAAGUAGCAAUAGAGUUGAUUGGGGUAAGCAUCAGGAGGCCCUACAUUCAGAUUUCCAACUUUGUGUGUUUAUGUGUAGAAACAAAAUCUGAGCAUCCCCAUGCCUUAAGAAAUUGCUAUCCCAACUUCUUUUUAGGGUAUAAGGCAAUUGCAAUUCACUUUACCCAUUUCUUGAAUUUUGUUAUGGAAAUAUAAGUUUUUGCACUGAAUUAUGUAGUUUCCAUCUUAUAGGCGGGCUAUGAUUUGAGGUGUUGUGGAUAACGUGUCAUAUACAUCUUCCACCCUGAGUUAUGUGAAGAAAAAGUUCUAGUUUCUACAUAUCUUGCAUUGAACAGGAUACAUGUAUGGGUUGAAGGAUGAAUAUCUUGUGCAUGUUUCAUGGUGGGUUGAGAAGAAAAAGGGGAUGGUUCAAUGCACACCUCUCUUGAGAUAAAGUUACUAUCAUGCUUGAUCUAAUCAAUAGAAAAAUUAAAUCUAUCAUGCGAUUAUCAUUAAAGACAAAGGGAUAGUUUACUGUAGGUGAAAUAAAUAAUAUGUGAAAAUAAAUUAUGGAGAGGAGUUUUCUGUCCAGGAGCAUGCCCUACACCAACAGCCCUUGGGUCUACCUCUCUUCUCCUAAAGAGAGGUAGGGAUGUCAAUUCACAGGGAAGAAGAGAGAUAGACAUAGAGGUUUGAAUCGAUUUAUUAUUGGUUUUUCUGUUCAGGAUACAAAUUGAAAUUGAAUUAAAACUGAAUAAUUUUCUUAACAUCAAAACCGAAUCAUAUUGAAUUGAUUCAGUUUUAUUCGGUCCAUGCAUGGUCUCCAUAAUUCAGUUCAAAUUCGAUUUAAGUGGAAAUAACCAGUUGAAACAAAUAAAAAUAGAAAGAAAAUUACAGACCUCAUUAAGAUAGAGUCUCAGAAUGUCAAAUUUGAUAUAUGUCAAAUAUUUAUCGCA